GUAACAACUCAAAUUUUUCAAACAAAUUUUUCAUUUUUAAAACAUAAUUAAUUCCAUUUAAAACAAGGCAUAAAUAGUUCAAGUAUUCUGUCAAAUACAUAUAUUCAAAAUCCCAAGAUCAUAAAGACAAUCUUCAGUGUGUAUCGAUCAUGCCGGCGCCUUCCCACGGUCCUCGCUGGUACCUGAAAUACAUGCACAACAACUGUAAGCAUAAAUGCUUAGUGAGUUCCCCAAUAUACAACUUACGCACAUACGCCUUUCCAGGCCCGACCUUCCGGUCCAUGUGUCUCAGGGGANUGAGUCCCCCAAUAUACAACUUACGCACAUCCGCCUUUCCAGGCCCGACCUUCCGGUCCAUGUGUCUCAGGGGACUUCCGUCCCUGCUGGGUAAACCUUCCGGCCUUACCCACGCCGACCUUCCGGUCCAUCACACAUCAUAUUGCCUUCCGGCCCAUAACAUAUUGCCUUCCGGCCCAUAAUAUAAUCGCCUUCCGGCCCAUAACAUACAUAGCACAUAUAACAAAUAACUUACCACAUAUAGCAUACAUAUCACAUAUCAUAUCUGACCUUCCGGUCACACAGUCAAACCCUUCCGGGUACAGUAUAGUGAGAAGACUCACCUCGUGAAUGCUGAAAGCUAGCAAAUCCUGAAAUCACUCGUGCACAAUCCGACGAGCUACAACCUCCCUAUAACAUCACAUAUCUCUCAUUAACACUUAUAUCUUCUAAGUGUGACUAUCCCUAAGAAGUCAGACUUAGGUCAACUCUGGUCAACGGUCAACGGUCAACGGUCAACUCGACCGGACUCGGCGAGUACCAUGGCGACUCGGCGAGUCUAGACGUCCUCCAACUCUCUGAGAUUCCCUAUCUACUCGUCGAGUAUCCUCCUUGACCCGACGAGUUACUCCUGGAAGAAUCGCGGGGCCACCCCGACUCAACUCGCCGAGUCUGAAGAACAACUCGACGAGUCCCAGUUAAUCUUCAAGCUACUCGCCGAGUCUGUUCAUCGAACUCGGCGAGUCCAUGCCAUGCAACCGCUCAAACUGCAUCCUAAGGUCAGAACUGCUUCGACCAUUCCUAGGUCUGGCCUUCCUAGGCUGAUCCAUCACGUAAAGUCCUCAUUUCAGUGCUCAUGAUACACCAUAUGAUUCAUAAUUUACAUUUUGACCUAAGGCAUAAGGAUUCCAAUCCAAAACCUUCAUCAAUUCCCGAAAUGCACAGACAUGGGACAUUCUGGACCUCCAAAGGUCCCAAUACAGGGUUACAAUCGAUUAGGGGACUAGGGUAACAUUCAAUCUAUUCACAAAAGGGUUCCAUAAACCCUAAUUCCAUAAUCACAUCAACAUAGCAGAGUAUACUCGAAUUCUUACCUGGAUGAUGUAUCCUCUGUGUCCCCAAUCCUCAGAAUGUGACUCCCUUGCUGCUCCUUUAGCCAAUCCCUUCUCUUCCUUGCACAACCACUCUUCUAUAAUCAACAAUGGCCUAUAAUCCUUGCUCCAGAUGCACACAAUCGAUUUAGGGUUCUUCUCAGAAGGCUAAAAUGAACAAUGACGGCCAAUAAGUCCCUUUUAUACGUCCCAAACCUGAACGGUUAGGGUUUUCGCUAAACAGCGUAGACUCGCCGAGUCCAUAUCUGGACUCGUCGAGUCCAGUCGCGAACCCGCGACCAAGUCUGCGAUCCUACUCGGCGAGUCUAGGCUCCAACUCGCCGAGUCCCCUCUUAACUCACCCCAAAAACAUAAUUUAACAAUACCUGAGAUUUCGGGCUGUUACAACUCUCCCCCACUUGGAUUAGACUUCGCCCUCGAAGUCUCACUCUGCAAAUAGUUCCGGAUGCUGCUCCCGCAUCUCACGUUCCGGUUCCCAAGUCAUUUCCGAUCCCUUACGGUGUUGCCAUUGAACCAACACCAGAGGUACCUCCUUGUUCCUCAGAACCUUGAUCUUCCGAUCCCUGAUAGCCACUGGUCUCUCCGCGUAAUUCAGGCUCGCAUCCACCUGAAUAUCCUCCAAUGGAACCACUGCCGACUCAUCGGCUAUGCACUUCCUCAACUGCGACACAUGAAAAGUGUCAUGGAUCUGACCCAACUCCGCUGGCAACUCCAACCGAUAGGCUACCCGGCCUAUCCUUGCAAUCACACGAAAUGGCCCAAUAUACCGGGGCCCCAACUUGCCCCUCUUCCUGAAUCGAAUCACUCCUUUCCAAGGAGAGACCUUCAGGAGAACGAAGUCGCCGACCUGAAAUUCAAGCUCGGAUCGGCGCCUGUCUGCAUAACUCUUCUGUCGGCUCUGGGCAGUCAAUAACCUUUGUCUCACUCGCUGAAUCUGCUCUGUCGUCUGGAGCACGAUCUCCGUGCUGCCCAUCACUCUCUGUCCCACCUCUCCCCAGCAAAUGGGGGUCCGACACCUCCUACCAUACAACAGCUCGAAAGGUGGCAUACCAAUGCUCGAAUGAUGGCUGUUGUUGUAGGAAAACUCUGCCAAGGGUAAAUACGCAUCCCAACUACCCCCGAAGUCUAACACACACGCUCGGAGCAUGUCCUCCAGCGUCUGAAUCGUCCGCUCGCUCUGACCGUCUGUCUGGGGAUGGUAUGCGGUACUAAAAUGCAAUUUAGUACCCAGCUCCUCAUGGAAUUUCUUCCAGAACCUGGAAGUGAAGCGCACAUCGCGGUCUGACACAAUCGAGAUCGGCACCCCGUGCCGAGAUACCACCUCUUUCACGUAUAUCUCCGCCAACUUUUCCGCUGAAGAACUCUCACUGAUGGCAAGGAAGUGUGCACUCUUCGUCAACCUAUCCACAAUCACCCAAAUUGCGUCAACUCCCCUAGCAGUCCUCGGCAAUUUGGUGAUAAAAUCCAUAGUGAUCUGUUCCCACUUCCACUCGGGGAUCUCCAAUGGCUGUAACUUGCCAUGCGGUCUCUGGUGCUCAGCCUUAACCCUACGGCAGGUCAAGCACCUCUCAACGAACCAUGCCACGUCCCUCUUCAUACAGGGCCACCAAUAUUCCUUCCUUAAAUCCAAAUACAUCUUUGUAGCACCGGGAUGGAUCGAGAAUUUCGAUCUAUGAGCCUCUUCCAUCAACGUAAUACGCGUACCGCCCACGAACGGUACCCAAAUCCGACCCUGAAACGUCAUAAGGCCUCGACUAUCCUUGACAAACUCUGAGAUUAACCCCACAACCCGCUCUUUCUUCUGCAUUUCUGGUCGCACAGCCUCUGCCUGGGCCCCACGAAUAGCGUCCAAUACUGGAGUCAUCACAGUCAGUCUCAAGCAUACAUCUCGCAAUGGAGUGCUCUCCGCCCUGCGGCUCAAUGCAUCGGCUACCACAUUAGCCUUGCCUGGGUGGUACAGGAUCUCACAAUCAUAAUCCUUGACCACAUCCAACCACCUCCUCUGACGCAUAUUUAGGUUGGGUUGAUCCAUCAAAUACUUCAAACUCUUAUGGUCCGUGUAUAUCGUACAUCGAACCCCAUACAAGUAGUGACGCCAAAUCUUGAGAGCGAACACUACUGCCCCCAACUCUAAAUCAUGCGUGGGAUAUCUCGCCUCAUGAGGCUUCAGCUGCCUCGACGCAUAAGCUAUCACAUGACCCCUCUGCAUCAACACUGCACCCAAUCCCGAAAUCGAUGCGUCGCAAUAUACCACGAAAUCUUCCAUCCCUUCUGGGAGAGCUAAUACCGGGGCUUCGCACAAUCUCUGGCGAAGUGUCUCAAAGGAGGUCUGCUGCUCGGGCCCCCAUGAGAAUGUAACACCCUUCCGGGUCAAUCUGGUGAGUGGCACUGCGAUCUUGGAGAAAUCCUUGAUAAAUCUCCGAUAAUACCCUGCCAACCCAAGGAAACUUCUGAUCUCAGAGGGUGACUUCGGCACCUCCCAACUCAUCACCGCCUCAACCUUGGCCGGAUCGACCAAUAUCCCUUUCUGAUUAACCACAUGUCCUAGAAACUGGACCUCCCGCAACCAGAAGUCACAUUUGGAGAACUUUGCAUAAAGCUUCUCCGACCUCAAUACCUCAAGGACCUCCCUCAAAUGCUCCUCAUGCUGCUCUCUAGAUCUCGAAUACACCAGAAUGUCGUCGAUAAAUACAAUCACCGACCGAUCCAACAUCGGCCUGCAUACCCUGUUCAUGAGAUCCAUGAACACAGCCGGGGCAUUGGUGAGUCCAAAAGGCAUCACCACAAACUCAUAAUGCCCAUAUCGCGUCCUAAACGCUGUCUUCUGGACGUCCUCUUCCCGUACUCUCACCUGAUGGUAUCCUGACCUCAGAUCGAUCUUGGAAAACCAAGAUGCUCCCUGCAACUGAUCGAAUAAAUCAUCGAUCCUCGGCAACGGGUAACGGUUCUUGACCGUUAGCUUGUUCAACUCCCGGUAAUCAAUGCACAUCCGGUGUGAACCAUCCUUCUUCUUGACGAACAGAAUAGGUGCUCCCCAUGGCGAGCUGCUCGGCCGAAUGAAUCCCUUCCCCAGCAACUCCUGGAGUUGCGAGGACAACUCUUGCAUCUCUGGAGGUGCAAGACGAUAGGGCACUUUAGCAAUAGGCGCGGCCCCCGGAACCAGAUCGAUACCAAACUCUACUUGCCUCACAGGAGGUACUCCCGGCAGUUCCUCGGGAAAAACAUCUGAAAACUCACGCACCACAGGGACCUCCUCAACUGACUUCGGUCUCUCGGAAACCUCCCGCGUAUCCAUCACAUACGCCACAAAACCCUUACAGCCCUGCUGUAGACACUGCCUCGCCCUAGCGGCCGAACAAAAAGCUGAUCCUGAACGGGUACCCUCGCCGUACACCGAAAGAACUCCCCCACUAUGGUCUCGUAUGGUCACCAACUGACGCUCACAGUCGAUGACAGCGCCGAAUCGGCUCAACCAGUCCAUGCCCACGAUAACACAGACAUCCCCCAUCGCAAUAGGAAUCAGGUCAAUCGGGAAUCCAACCCCGAAAAUCUCUAGUACACAUCCCCGAAGAACCUCCGUAGCACGAAUCACUUUCUCGUCAGCUAUAGAAACUCUCAAAGGUCGACUCAACGACUCACGACUAACGCCGAUAUGCUGACUAAAGGCUAAGGACACAAAGGACCUACUAGCACCCGAGUCAAAUAACACUAAGGCAGGCACAGAGUUCACAAGGAAAGUACCUACGCAUAUAAUAACAUAAGCAUAACAUCUCGACAUUAAAAUAAAUACAUGAAUUACAACAUACCUGCCACAACAUCGGGCGCAGCGCGGACCUCCUCCGCAGUCAGCUGAAAGGCUCUCCCACGAGCCCUCGGGGCCUCGACCUUCACCGGUCGAGUCUCAGUAGUCCUGGCAACAGGUGCAGAUCCCUGACGAAGCUGAGGGCACUCGGCCUUCCGAUGGCCGGUCUGGUUGCAAUGAAAGCAAACCAUAAAUCCCUUGGGACACUCCCUAGCAAUGUGUCCCUCCUUGCCACACUUGUAGCAAGCACCGGCUCGACACGCCCCAUCGUGACCCUUACCGCACUUUACGCAAGUGCGGUUCUUCGAACCUCCCGUCCUCGAAUCGGCGGACUUGAUCCGCUUGGCUGCCGGCUGAGACUGAGCCGGCCGCCGGUCUGCCUGCUGAGACUCGGCCUCCUCCCUGGCCUGAGUCUCUAACUCGAUCUCACGCUUCCUGGCAUUCGCCUGAAGCUCAGUAAAAGUAUGGUAAGUGGAGUUUGACACAAACUCCCGGAUCUCCCUCCUCAGAACACCCAAGUACCGGCUCAUCCGAGCCUGCUCUGUGGCCACCAGCUCGGGGCAAAACAUCGCCCUCUCAUGGAACUUCCGCGUGAUCGCCGCCACCGAAUCAGUACCCUGCUUGAGGGUUAAGAACUCCUGAACCAAUCGUUCCCGCUCCACCGGGGGAACGUACUCCUCCCUGAACAUGGUAGUGAACCCCUCCCAUGUCACUGCCGCAGUCUCUGCCAAAGUGAAGUUCGCCGUCACGAACUUCCACCAGUCCUUCGCUCCCAGACGGAGCUGGUUCAAAGCGAACCGUACCCUCAGGUGCUCCGGGCAUGAACAAGUGUAGAAGCACCCCUCUAUAUCUGCGAUCCACCUCAUCGCAGCAAUCGGAUCCUGCGUCCCAUCGAACUCUGGUGGCUUCGUGUUGCUGAACUCUCGGAACAGCAAUGAAUCACCCCCCUGUGGCCUAGCAGCGGCCACAGCUGCGGUAGCUGCAGCGGUUGCAGCCUCAGUCAAUGCGGCGUACCGCUCGUCGAACGUCUCCAUCAGGGUGGUCUUGAUAGACCCAAACAUCUCCGGGAUCUCAGCCCGGAUCGCCGCCGCCACCUCCUCGUGGAUCAUCUGACGAAUAUCCUCGUCACUCACACCGCUCGUACUUGCCCCGUGCCGCGGUCUAACCAUGAUAUCUCUGAAAUACAACAUAAAACUAUCAGAGAUUCUACCGAGUAUAAUCGUACUCGACACGCAACCCUACUCAGUCCCAGAUAUCCAGGGAUUCUUACUUGGGCCUCCCACUGACCCGGUGUCCUCGGUAGUACGGGCCCAAUACUACCGACCACACCGCAUCAAUGUUCAUCCCAAGUCCUCCUCCCCAAACUCCGGAUAGUGAGUACUCUACUUCUGAUACGCUCUAUCUACCCGCAUACUAGCAAAGCAUCUCAUAUAGCCAACUUCCCUAGACUAAGGCAUCACAAAUCAGGCCACUCUAGUCCUAUCAUGAAUACCUAGUCUUCUAGCAUGCAUAACAAUUCAUAUCAUAUAAUAUUGUAAGGUAUUUUGGGGAUCUUUACCGUUCGGGCGCUGACUGAUCGUACACACUGCUUCUUUCUUGCUUACCACAAAACCAUUUACAAAAGUUUAUGCCUUUAUUUGAAAAGUUUCCUCAAAUCCUCGGUUUGAGUUCAGUUACCCCCGAAGGUGCACCCGAAUCUCUCAAACCAAGGCUCUGAUACCAAUUGUAACAACUCAAAUUUUUCAAACAAUUUUUUUCAUUUUUAAAAACAUAUUGUUUCCAUUUUAAACAAGGCAUAAAUAGUUUAAGUAUUCUGUCAAAUACAUUUAUUCAAAAUCCCAAGAUCAUAAAGACAAUCUUCAGUGUGUAUCGAUCAUGCCGGCGCCUUCCCACGGUCCUCGCUAGUACCUGAAAUACAUGCACAACAACUGUAAGCAUAAAUGCUUAGUGAGUUCCCCAAUAUACAACUUACGCACAUACGCCUUUCCAGGCCCGACCUUCCGGUCCAUGUGUCUCAGGGGACUUCCGUCCCUGCUGGGUAAACCUUCCGGCCUUACCCACGCCGACCUUCCGGUCCAUCACACAAUCAUAUCGCCUUCCGGCCCAUAACAUAUUGCCUUCCGGCCCAUAAUAUAAUCGCCUUCCGGCCCAUAACAUACAUAGCACAUAUAACAAUUAACUUACCACAUAUAGCAUACAUAUCACAUAUCAUAUCCGACCUUCCGGUCACACAGUCAACCCUUCCGGGUACAGUAUAGUGAGAAGACUCACCUCGUAAAUGCUGAAAGCUAGCAACUCCUGAAAUCACUCGUGCACAAUCCAACGAGCUACAACCCUCCUAUAACAUCACAUAUCUCAUUAGCACUCAUAUCUUCUAAGUGUGACUAUCCCUAAGAAGUCAGACUUAGGUCAACUCUGGUCAACGGUCAACGGUCAACUCGACCGGACUCGGCGAGUACCUUGGCGACUCGGCGAGUCUAGACGUCCUCCAACCUUCUGAGAUUCCUUAUCUACUCGUCGAGUACCCUCCUCGACCCGACGAGUUACUCCUGGAAGAAUCGCGGGGCCACCCCGACUCCACUCGCCGAGUCUGAAGAACAACUCGGCGAGUCCCAGUGAAUCUUCAAGCUACUCGCCGAGUCUGUUCAUCGGACUCGGCGAGUCCACGCCAUGCAGUCGAUCAAACUGCUUCCUGAGAUAGGUCUCGUCCCGAAAUACACAUGCAUGGGACCUUCUGGACCUCUAAAGGUCCUACUACAAGAUUAUAGUCGUUGGGUAACGAGGCACUAAUUCAUUUAAUCACCAAAUGGGUUCUAUAAACCCUAAAUUCAUAAACACAUCAAACAACAGAAGGGAAUCCGAAAUAUUACCUGGAAUAUGUCCUCUCUGUGUCUCAAAACCGCAGAACUCGAAUCCCUUGCUGCUCCUUUAGUCUAAACCCUUCUCUUCCUUGCCCCACAAUUUCCUUCAAGCCCUAAUAUCCUCCAAUCUUGCUCUAGAUGCCCACAGCCGUUUAGGGUUCCUCUCAAUCGACUAAAGACAGACAAUGACGGCCUAUAAGAGUAUUAAAUACGAUCCAAAACUGAACGGUUAGGGUUUCUGCUGAACAGCGUCGACUCGCCGAGUCCAUAUCUGGACUCGUCGAGUCCAGUCGCGGACCCGCGACCAAGUCUGCGAUCCUACUCGGCGAGUCUAGGCUCCAACUCGCCGAGUCCCCUCUCACUCACCCCAAAAACAUAAUUAAAUAAUACCUGAGAUUUCGGG
This 8454-nucleotide long non-coding RNA is filed under the name Lactuca sativa (garden lettuce). Its description in RNAcentral is "long non-coding RNA (LSAT_LNC004541)". The record is from RNAcentral. Lineage: Eukaryota; Viridiplantae; Streptophyta; Magnoliopsida; Asterales; Asteraceae.